CCACCCCCCUCCCCCCCCAACCGCGCAACAAUUACCCCUUUUAGGAUCGGCUAAUCCUGAAAUAUGGGCCUGUGACUAAUGGCGGAAUUUAGCAAGAAAUCAGCUCCAGUUUCACCGGCUUUAUUGACUCUAAUGCAGGAUGCAGAUACCUUCAGCUAUGAUGGAUGAGCGUGGGGAUACUGUCAGCCCCCCCCCUCCUCCUCCUCCUGCUCCUCCUCCUCCUCUUUCACUGUUGCCUUUGUGCAGGUGAUAAUGAAAAGUGUCAGAGAAGCAUGUAGCGGGCCCUUUUCACUGGCUCUCGCCAAAAGAAUGAGCCGCCAUGACAACAUUGACGUUGGAGUUUGUUGUUUCACAGGGCGAGGCGCUUCGCAGACGUCCCUCCUCCCUUAUUGUAUCGCGGCCGUCAAUAAACUGCAAUAUUGUGUCUCACUCUUGAGCGUGUGCCAGCCUGCUCCCACAUUCUGCUACAGGGGGGGGGGGGGCGGCGAUUGAGCAUAAAGCCACAAAAGCGGGGUCUUAGUGUACUUUGCUGCACAAACGAGUUAUCAAUCACGCUCUGCAUGCGAGGUGAUGGAUACGCGAGGCGCUUUUAUUUGACAGUGACAGAUAUGGUGCCGAUGAAUGAGUGCAGAUUGCCCGAUAAAUCAACCCCUCAAAUGUUUCAGACUCUGCUAAUCAUGGGCUUUUACUUUGAAGGGAACAAAGUCAAUAUUUGCGUUGUUGCACCUGCAGGGUUAAGAAAAUAAAGAGGGUUCGGGUGAAUACAAAGUUAUCCGACUAAAUCCUCGGGGAGUUUAGUUUGUGAGUGUCAUCAAAUUCCUGGAGACUGAGAUCAGAUCAGAAUGUCGUCGACUUCACUCGACCACUGAAGCGGAAUAAUCUCAAGUGGCAACAAAUGUGGAAUGAAAAUGAAAUUUGCGGCUCAAUCAUCCAUCAAAGUGAUGAUGCACUAGUAUCAGUUUGUGUGAAAAUAUGUGUGGAAACUAGAACUGGAGAAUAAUAUGAAUUUCAUUGUACAGAGUAACCUGUUAAACUGCACAUGCCCAUAAGUCAGGAAUCAUCAGGGACCAGGAAACAUUUAUUGCCAUAAUAUGUGAGACAUACAAGGGAUUUGACGUGGCGGUUGGUGCGUGACAGCAGACAGAACAACAACGGACGACAAGACAACAGUGCACGAGGAAUAAAAUAAAAUAUAAUGCUAUGGGUUAGUUUAAAAAUUAAAGUUUAAAAUGUUUAAAAAUAAAGUGCAAACAGCGGAGCAGAGGGAAGGGGCACAAACAGGUUUUGUCCGGGGUGAGAGGGGUCUACUGUAUAGAGGGGUCUAUGUAGGAGGUCUAUAUAGGGGUCUAUAUAGGGGGUCUAUAUAGUGGUCUAUGUAGGGGGUCUAUGUAGGGGUCUAUAUAGGGGUCUAUAUAGGGGGUCUAUAUAAGGGUCUACAUAGAGGUCUAUGUAGGAGAAAUAUCUUCAAUCUUGAAUUUAAUACGUAAUAAGUACAUUUUUGUUCUCAUUCCGAGGUGAUGAGAUCAACUUCACAGCAGCUGCUGUGAUAAUAUAAUUAUUAUGUACAUUACAGGUCAUUUAGCAGACGCUUUUUAUCCAAAGCAACUUACAUUACACUUUAAACUCAUGGCUUUUUCACAUUUUUGCCCGGGGAGCAAUUAGGGGGUUAGGUGUCUUGCUCAGGGACACUUGGACAUGGAACAUGGGGCAGCCUGGAAUCGAACCACCAACCUUGUGCUUCCCAGCACACCUUCUCUAACCCCUGCGCCACGACGACGGGAGAUGUUAUUUAGCAAUUUAUUCUUAAAUAUAGUUUGCUUAAUUGUUUGGGUAAUUGGAUCACUAAUGCUGUGGGCACCUGGAGGUUACGUAGCCAGGUGGGACCAGCAUGCACCUGGGUGACAAAUAGUUUUCACCAGUGAGUCAGAGCGACAGAGCGACAUGCACUGCAUGGGAAAGCAGACAAGUUGCGUAUGUGUUGUGGAUUCUGUGGAAUAAAGGCGAAACAAAGGAAAAGAUCGCCCGGACAAUCCGCUUUCUUACUGCGUGAAAGAAAACAAAAACUAGGUGCAGCAGUGGCUCUUUGAGAUGUAAAGAUUAGUUGGUAACAAGGACAAAUGGCCACUACAAGUACGCUAGUAUCAUAAUGUGUGACCCUGUAACUGAUCUAGAAGCAUGAAGAUAUGAAAAUAAUAAAAUGUAGGGUCUGGAAAACAGCUGUUGUUUUGUCCACUAAUAUUUUUGCAUGUCUAAUAUUUUGAGGAUAAACACAUUUUGCUUGUGUGAAAAACACUGUUGGUUAUUUAUAAGUAAGGUUGAUUUACUGGAGGUGUGUCGGAGAAGUUUUAUUCUUUGUCCUGUCAUUGUUCAAACAGCUUCAUCAAAUGUUCUUAUUUCACUGUAAGAAAACACAGUGGAAACAAAGAGGAACACAAAACAAACAACAAAAACAAAAAAGAAGAAU
Long non-coding RNA from Gasterosteus aculeatus aculeatus (three-spined stickleback), 2464 nucleotides. The record is from Ensembl. Lineage: Eukaryota; Metazoa; Chordata; Actinopteri; Perciformes; Gasterosteidae.